RNAcentral lists this ribosomal RNA (301 nucleotides) under uncultured bacterium. RNAcentral's name for it is "partial 16S ribosomal RNA". It matches the Rfam family "Bacterial small subunit ribosomal RNA", at positions 509 to 807 of the family's 1533-position model. The record is from RNAcentral.
CAGCCGCCGCGGGAACACGUAGGUGGCAAGCGUUGUCCGGAAUUAUUGGGCGUAAAGGGCUCGCAGGCGGUUUCUUAAGUCUGAUGUGAAAGCCCCCGGCUCAACCGGGGAGGGUCAUUGGAAACUGGGAAACUUGAGUGCAGAAGAGGAGAGUGGAAUUCCACGUGUAGCGGUGAAAUGCGUAGAGAUGUGGAGGAACACCAGUGGCGAAGGCGACUCUCUGGUCUGUAACUGGCGCUGAGGAGCGAAAGCGUGGGGAGCGAACAGGAUUAGAUACCCGUGUAGUCCCUGUCUCUUAUAC